This 431-nucleotide ribosomal RNA is filed under the name uncultured bacterium. RNAcentral's name for it is "partial 16S ribosomal RNA". It matches the Rfam family "Bacterial small subunit ribosomal RNA", at positions 29 to 507 of the family's 1533-position model. The record is from RNAcentral.
AACGAACGCUGGCGGCAGGCUUAACACAUGCAAGUCGAGCGCCCCGCAAGGGGCCCGGCUGACGGGUGGGUACCGAGUGGGAACGUACCUUUUGGUUCGUAACAACUCCGGGAAACUGGAGCUACUACCGGAUAAGCCAUAACGGAGAAAGCUUUAUCGCCGAAAGAUCGGCCCGCGUCUGAUUAGCUAGUUGGUGAGGUAACGGCUAACCAAGGCGACAGUCAGUAGCUAGUCUGAGAGGAAGAUCAGCCACACUGUGACUGAGACACAGCCCAGACUCCUACGGGAGGCAGCAGUGGGGAAUAUUGGACAAUGGGCGCAAGCCUGAUCGAGCCAUGCCGGGUGAGUGAUGAAGGCCUUAGGGUUGUAAAGCUCUUUUGUCCGGGAAGAUAAUGACUGUACCGGAAGAAUAAGCCCCGGCUAACUUCGUG